CGAUGAACCUCCUUCGGGAGGGGAUUAGUGGCGAACGGGUGAGUAACACGUGGGCAAUCUGCCCUUCACUCUGGGACAAGCCCUGGAAACGGGGUCUAAUACCGGAUACGACCACCGACCGCAUGGUCUGGUGGUGGAAAGCUCCGGCGGUGAAGGAUGAGCCCGCGGCCUAUCAGCUUGUUGGUGGGGUGAUGGCCUACCAAGGCGACGACGGGUAGCCGGCCUGAGAGGGCGACCGGCCACACUGGGACUGAGACACGGCCCAGACUCCUACGGGAGGCAGCAGUGGGGAAUAUUGCACAAUGGGCGAAAGCCUGAUGCAGCGACGCCGCGUGAGGGAUGACGGCCUUCGGGUUGUAAACCUCUUUCAGCAGGGAAGAAGCGAAAGUGACGGUACCUGCAGAAGAAGCGCCGGCUAACUACGUGCCAGCAGCCGCGGUAAUACGUAGGGCGCAAGCGUUGUCCGGAAUUAUUGGGCGUAAAGAGCUCGUAGGCGGCUUGUCACGUCGGAUGUGAAAGCCCGGGGCUUAACCCCGGGUCUGCAUUCGAUACGGGCAGGCUAGAGUUCGGUAGGGGAGAUCGGAAUUCCUGGUGUAGCGGUGAAAUGCGCAGAUAUCAGGAGGAACACCGGUGGCGAAGGCGGAUCUCUGGGCCGAUACUGACGCUGAGGAGCGAAAGCGUGGGGAGCGAACAGGAU
RNAcentral lists this ribosomal RNA (697 nucleotides) under Streptomyces sp. DE-515. Its description in RNAcentral is "bacterial SSU rRNA". It matches the Rfam family "Bacterial small subunit ribosomal RNA", at positions 67 to 778 of the family's 1533-position model. Lineage: Bacteria; Bacillati; Actinomycetota; Actinomycetes; Kitasatosporales; Streptomycetaceae. The record is from RNAcentral.